RNAcentral lists this ribosomal RNA (2613 nucleotides) under Triticum aestivum (bread wheat). Its description in RNAcentral is "partial small subunit ribosomal RNA". The record is from RNAcentral. Lineage: Eukaryota; Viridiplantae; Streptophyta; Magnoliopsida; Poales; Poaceae.
AUGGCUGACCAUGGGAUUCUUCAUCAAACUUCAUGUCCGGACACCCCCCCUCAGAAUGGAGUGGCCGAACGGAAGAAUCGUCAUAUUCUUGAGGUUGCUCGGUCGUUGAUGUUUACCAUGAAUGUGCCUAAGUUCUUGUGGGAUGAUGCAGUUAUGACAGCCACAUACUUGAUCAACCGAACACCUUCCAGGAUACUUGGCAUGAAAUCUCCGUCUGAGUUGAUCAUUGGAGAUAAUAAGUUUGUUGUUCCCCCAAAGUUGUUUGGCAGUACCUGCUUUGUUCGUGAUCACCGACCAUCUGUUGGCAAGCUUGAUCCUCAGGCAGUGAAGUGUGUCUUUCUGGGAUACUCGUCUAGUCAGCAGGGGUAUAAAUGUUGGUGUCCCUCUGAAAAACGCAGGUUUGUAAGUAUGGACGUUACAUUCAGGGAGUCUGAGCCAUUCUAUGGUGAGCCGACUGAUCUCAGUCUGUUGUUUGCAGAGCUUGACCACCUACACCCUGUGCAUGAUGGUCAAGAGGGGGAGAAGGAUGUGUCUCAUACUCACGGUGAUCCUGUGGACAUUAACACUGAUAAUGAUGUGCAGGCUCAGGUUCAACCAAUAGUGGGUACAAUUCCGGUUAGUACCAUCACUGAUCAUGAUGUGCGGGCUCAUGUCGAGCCAACUGUCGAUACACUUAAGAUUGGUGCUCUCCAGGUUCCUGUUCGGGAUCGAUGGCAGAUGAAUACCCUGGUGUACUCUCGGCGGCAACGACAAGUGCAGGGGGAGCAGCAAGGCAGGGAGGCAAGAGUGCAGGGGGAGCAGCAAGGCAGGGAGGCAAGAGUGCAGGGGGAGCAGCAAGGCAGGGAGGCAAGAGUGCAGGGGGAGCAGCAAGGCAGUGAGGCAAGCUCAUCUGACACAGUGGAGCUGCCCAUUGCGUUGCGAAAACCUACACGUGAAGCGGCAAGGAAGGGUGAGGUAGCAAGGAAGGCUCUGCCAAAGGAUGAUGCUUGUGAUGACCUUGAUAUUGGCAAUUUUGUGUCUUACAAGGCUUUGUCACCUUCAUAUAAGGCGUUUGUUGCCUCUCUGCAAACUGUGUCUAUCCCUAGGGAUUGGAAGGCUGCAAAGCAAGAUCCGAAGUGGCGUGAAUCGAUGAUAGAGGAGUUAGAAGCAUUGAAAAAAAACAAGACAUGGGUGCUAACCACAUUGCCGGCAGGAAAGAAAGCAGUGAGUUGUAAGUGGAUUUUUACUGUGGAGCAGAAUCCUGAGGGCAAGGUGGAACGGUAUAAGGCUAGAUUGGUUGCCAGAGGAUAUAGUCAAACUUAUGGAAUUGACUAUGAUGAGACAUUUGCUCCAGUUGCAAAGAUGAACACGGUACGGGUAUUAGUCUCGUGUGCUGCAAACUUUGGGUGGAAAUUGCACCAGUUAGAUGUCAAGAAUGCCUUCUUACAUGGUGACUUGAAAGAAGAGGUAUACAUGGAGAUACCGCCAGGUUUUGGCACAGAACAGACUACGGGGAAGGUAUGCAGGCUGAAGAAAUCCUUGUAUGAUCUGAAGCAAUCGCCGAGGGCAUGGUUUGAUAGGUUCAGACGAGCUGUUUGGAAUAUGGGGUAUGGCCAAUGUAAUGGUGACCACACGGUGUUUUAUAGACACACUAAUAAGAAGAUCACCAUUGUUGCAGUGUAUGUUGAUGAUAUCAUCAUCACUGGAGAUGAUGAGGAGGAAAUAAAGAGAGUGAAGGGGUGUCUGAGCAAGGAGUUUGAGGUAAAAGACUUAGGAAAUCUAAAGUACUUCCUUGGCAUAGAAGUGGCCCGGACAGAGAAGGGAAUAUCUUUGUGCCAACGAAAAUACACCUUGGAUCUUUUGAGUGACAUGGGCAUGAUGGGAUGUCGUGCAGCCCCUACUCCAAUUGAACAAAAUCAUCAAGUAACAGCACAAUCAGGUGAGCUAGUGAAUAAGGAAGAUUAUCAGAAGCUGGUUGGGAGGUUAUUGUACUUGUGUCAUACUAGGCCUGACAUUACGUAUGCCGCGGGGGUGGUGAGCAGAUACAUGCAUGAACCAAGGAGAGGGCAUCUUGAUAUUGUUCACAGAAUCCUGAGAUACUUGAAGGGGACUCCGGGUAAAGGGUUGUGGUUUGUGAAGAGUGGACAUCUUGAGGUGGAUGGCUAUAGUGACUCUGAUUGGGCUAGCUGUCAAGAUGAUAGACGAUCAACUUCAGGUUACUGUGUGUUUGUGGGAGGAAAUUUGGUGUCAUGGAGAAGCAAGAAACAGAAUGUUGUGUCUAGAUCAACAGCAGAAGCUGAAUAUAGAGCAUUAUCUCAAGGGUUGUGUGAUAUGCUCUGGGUGAAGCACCUACUAUGCGAGUUGAAACUCUUGAGGAAGGGACCCUUAAGGGUGUGGUGUGACAAUCAGUCAGCUAUAGCCAUUGCUAAUAACCCAGUUCAACAUGAUAGGACGAAGCAUGUGGAAAUUGAUCGCUUCUUCAUUAAAGAGAAACUUGAUGCUGGGAUCAUCAGCCUUACUCAUGUCAGCUCUGGGCAGCAGUUUGCAGAUUGCUUGACAAAGGGACUGGGAACAAAGGACUGUAACUUGGCGUGUGACAAGAUGGGGAUGAUAGAUAUCUACCACCCAUCUUGA